AUCGCUUCUCGGCCUUUUGGCUAAGAUAAAGCAGUAUCUGUUCUUAUUAGUUUAAUAUCUGAUACGUCCUCUACCCGAGGACAAUAUAUUAAAUGGAUUUUUGGAACUGGGAGUCAGAAGACGAGCUUGCUCCGUCCGCUCCGGACAUCGACCUGGUAUUGCAGUACCUCCAGGAACAGUGUACCAAAA
Suncus etruscus (white-toothed pygmy shrew) is the source of this 189-nucleotide small nuclear RNA. RefSeq annotates it as U2 spliceosomal RNA. The record is from RefSeq and is a predicted model, not a curated record. Lineage: Eukaryota; Metazoa; Chordata; Mammalia; Eulipotyphla; Soricidae. The transcript has a single exon.